This 253-nucleotide ribosomal RNA is filed under the name uncultured bacterium. Its description in RNAcentral is "partial 16S ribosomal RNA". It matches the Rfam family "Bacterial small subunit ribosomal RNA", at positions 524 to 776 of the family's 1533-position model. The record is from RNAcentral.
UACGAAGGGGGCUAGCGUUGCUCGGAAUGACUGGGCGUAAAGGGCGCGUAGGCGGUUUGUACAGUCAGGUGUGAAAUUCCCGGGCUCAACCUGGGGGCUGCACUUGAUACGUAUGGACUGGAGUGGGGAAGAGGGUCGUGGAAUUCCCAGUGUAGAGGUGAAAUUCGUAGAUAUUCGCAAGAACACCAGUGGCGAAGGCGGCCAACUGGUCCGGUUCUGACGCUGAGGCGCGAAAGCGUGGGGAGCAAACAGG